This 159-nucleotide small RNA is filed under the name Sphenodon punctatus (tuatara). RNAcentral describes it as "TUC338 (ENSSPUG00000001635.1)". Lineage: Eukaryota; Metazoa; Chordata; Lepidosauria; Sphenodontia; Sphenodontidae. The record is from RNAcentral.
CAGGUGCCUUCUUCUCCCCACCCCCAGGUCAGGUACAGUGUGGCCAAGUGCACUGUAGGCUCCCCUACACGGCGCCGCCGGUGCACCUCAAAGCGGACAUGGACGGACCACUCUCUAAUCGGGGUGAGAAGGUAAAUGGAGGCCCUGCUCUAGGCUGUG